Molecule: ribosomal RNA, 252 nt
Filed under: uncultured bacterium
Lineage: Bacteria
Description: partial 16S ribosomal RNA
Rfam family: Bacterial small subunit ribosomal RNA
Source: RNAcentral
UACGUAGGGUCCGAGCGUUGUCCGGAAUUAUUGGGCGUAAAGAGCUCGUAGGCGGUCUGUUGCGUCGGCUGUGAAAACCCGGGGCUCAACUCCGGGCCUGCAGCCGAUACGGGCAGACUAGAGUUCGGCAGGGGAGACUGGAAUUCCUGGUGUAGCGGUGAAAUGCGCAGAUAUCAGGAGGAACACCGGUGGCGAAGGCGGGUCUCUGGGCCGAUACUGACGCUGAGGAGCGAAAGCGUGGGGAGCAACAGG